This 2618-nucleotide long non-coding RNA is filed under the name Homo sapiens (human). RNAcentral's name for it is "HSALNT0337069". Lineage: Eukaryota; Metazoa; Chordata; Mammalia; Primates; Hominidae. The record is from RNAcentral.
GUGACACAGCGGGAGAGCCCAGAGCGACAGCUGUUGGAAUGACUGCACUCUUCCUGCUCAAGUCUGACCUUUCCAAGCCUUUGUCCUAUGUCUGGAGACUUCUUGGAAGCUGGAGCACACAAAUAGCUACAGCAAACUUGAGGAAUGGGCAUGAAUAGACUGGCUUCGGGGAACCUGCCAGCUUGGCCGUGUGGCCAAGGUAAUAGGCAAGCCAAGGCAGAGCUAGAGCUCAGAGCUGGAGGGGAAAUUAAAGCAGCAAAUGUAGAAACAUUAAGCCUGAAGAGGCGACGACGUUGAAUUCUAAAAUGCAGGCCAAAGCUCAGACUGCAAGCUGUCUGGCUGCUCCGGGUGUGCCCAGAAGUCAAAGUCCAGCAGGGGCAAAGGUGGAGGUGUGGUCCUGCACGUGGGGUGUUGGGGGGAUGUGGAAGAGGAGGUGCUUUAAGAUCCAGAGAUUCCAGCUGCCCUGGUGCACCCUUGGAAGAAUAAAAGGCUAGGAACUGGACAAGUCAGGCUCGAGUCCAAGCUGCCUGAGGAAUCGGGGAAAGAAUGGAGCUCAGAGUGGGAGGUCAGGGCAGUAUUUAAAAAUCCAGGAUAGCAGCAAAGCUGGCGGUGGCCCCUGACUCUGGUAAGGGCAGCCUGCAGCACCAUGCCAAGGGGGGCCUGACUGAUCAUGCCCUGCAUUUGCAAACAAGGAUUAGUAGGGUAUGAGUAGGAUUCUGCUGGUGCCUGGGAAGGCAGUGCCAUCUACAACUUUACAAAGUUUUAACAAAGGCCUGAAGGACACAACCUUCCCCAAAGUCCUGACGUCGCUGUUUGCUGGCAACAAAUAGAGUCAAAAGAAGAGAGGCACAGAAUGUGCCAGGGGUGUGCUGCGUACAGCCCCGAUGACCACAAGGCCUUCUUGGGUCAAGUUCUGCCAUCUCUGGUUAAGAUGGGCUCACCCUCUAGGACCCUGAUUGAGUCCUCGGACCACCAAGAGUGCCCCACCAAGAGCCUCCCUCUUCUGGUGACUCGUGCCUGCUUCCCGUGGAGAGCUCCAGAAGGGAGGAAACUGUGAGGAGGUGGAGAACGUGGCAGGGAUCCUAACUUUCUUACUGAAGGAAGUUCUUCACAAGUACCCAUCUGCCUUCAGGGAAGAAAACAUAACUCAUUUUGGUCUUUCAAAUUCAGUUCUCAAAACCAAAUCCUGUUGUCAGCAAUCUGUGUCCCAACGCCUUCUUCAGCAACAGCAUUUUCCCUGUGGAAUUAGUUUCCAAUGUUCUUUCUUAAAUAAACCACUGAAGAUUAAAAGGAAUCCAGAUACCCACCACAUUUUGUUUCCUUAAUGAGUAAUUAUCACAUUUCUUUGGCUACUUAAAUGCAUUCUCUGAGUCAGGUAAAGGAGAUCGUAAUAGUUAAUCAACAAGAAGUAAUUCUUGGGUACUUAACAAUAGUCUAAGCACUUAAUCAUACUUAAAAUUGACUAUUAAUGAACCUUAUAAACCAUUUUGCAAUUCUGAAAGUGAAUUUCUCUGCAGGCUUAGAGAUUACUAAGCCAUUUAGAUCUUACCAAACAAAUAUUAUUCAUGCUUUAAUUCCUGGGAAAAGAAAUUUAGAAAAUGAGGUUAAUGUUCAGUUGUCCUUUCCUGAGUUUAACAAUUAUAUAUUCCAUCUGGGAUGCUCUGAACUCAGGUUAAACAUUCUUCAAGUUAUUCCCACAUUUUUCAAGUUAUUCCCACGUUAGUGACCUACUUUAUUAGUAUUAUUACUAAAGAAAAGGGCUGGGUGCGGUGGCCCACAUCUGUAAUCCCAGCACUUUGGGAGGCUGAAGCAGGAGGAUCACUUGAGCUUGGGAGUUCAAGACCAGCCUGAGAGGGAGACUCCGUCUCUACAAAAAAAAAAAAAUUAGCCAGGUAUGGUGGCACGCGCUCAUGGGCCCAGCUACUCAAGGAGGCUGAGGUGGGAGGAUCACGUGAACCUGGGAGGCAGAGCCUGCAGUGAGCCCUGGUUGUGCCUCUGUACUCAAGCCUGAGAGACAGAGUGAGACCCUGUCUCCAAACAAUAAAGUAAAAUAAAUAAAUAAAUAAAUAAGAAUGCAAAUCAAAGACAUUAAGAAAUAGCUUUACUUUAAUGUAGGCAUUUAAGGUAAAAUAGGUCACAUUCUCUUUUUUAAAAAAAUUACUGACCCACAGAAAAACAAGUCAAAAAGCAGACUAUUUCAUAUUAGUGUCUUUUUUUUAAAGAGGAUUAAUAUAAAUUGCCUUCUCACCUGUUUUUAAAAUAAAGGACUGAAUGAUAGAACUUAGACAACAAAUCUAGUAGCAUGAUAAAAGCCUUUCUUUGAUAGCUAGAAAAGGUAAACAAAGAAUAAAACAGGGUGAAGAAGAAAGAGGACAGAUAGAAUGUGAAUAUUAUCUACCUUUUUCUCAAGAUAAAACUAAUAUUGCUUUCUAAAAAGAAGCAAUUCUUUAGAGCAGAGGUCAGCAAACUUUUUCUAUAAAGAGCCAGAUAUUAACUAUUUUAUAAUUUGCAAACCACAUAAGUCCUCUGUUUCAUAUGGGUUUUUUUCUUUUUUCUUUUUAAACAAUACUUUAAAAAUGCUGAAAAUAUUCUUAGCUUACAUCUACAAAAAAGCAGGC